GACGAACGCUGGCGGCGUGCUUAACACAUGCAAGUCGAACGGUGAAGCCCUUCGGGGUGGAUCAGUGGCGAACGGGUGAGUAACACGUGAGCAACCUGCCCCUGGCUCUGGGACAACCACUGGAAACGGUGGCUAAUUCCGGAUACGACCCGCCUCGGCAUCGAGUGUGGGUGGAAAGUUUUUCGGCUGGGGAUGGGCUCGCGGCCUAUCAGCUUGUUGGUGAGGUGAAGGCUCACCAAGGCGACGACGGGUAGCCGGCCUGAGAGGGCGACCGGCCACACUGGGACUGAGACACGGCCCAGACUCCUACGGGAGGCAGCAGUGGGGAAUAUUGCACAAUGGGCGAAAGCCUGAUGCAGCGACGCCGCGUGAGGGAUGACGGCCUUCGGGUUGUAAACCUCUUUCAGCUCCGAAGAAGCGAAAGUGACGGUAGGAGCAGAAGAAGCACCGGCUAACUACGUG
RNAcentral lists this ribosomal RNA (462 nucleotides) under uncultured bacterium. RNAcentral describes it as "partial 16S ribosomal RNA". It matches the Rfam family "Bacterial small subunit ribosomal RNA", at positions 28 to 507 of the family's 1533-position model. The record is from RNAcentral.